UCUUUUCCUUUUUUUCCCUCCUCCUCUUUCCUCCUUCUUUCUCCCGCGUUGUCCGGCUUUCCUGGGUGUCCCGGGUGCGUAGGCGGCUUUGCAAGUCAGAUGUGAAAUCUAUGGGCUCAACCCAUAAACUGCAUUUGAAACUGUAGAGCUUGAGUGAAGUAGAGGCAGGCGGAAUUCCCCGUGUAGCGGUGAAAUGCGUAGAGAUGGGGAGGAACACCAGGGGCGAAGGCGGCCGGCGGGGCGGGAAAGGAAGAGGAGGAAAGAAAGAGGGGGGAGAAAACAGG
RNAcentral lists this ribosomal RNA (284 nucleotides) under Ruminococcus bromii. RNAcentral describes it as "partial 16S ribosomal RNA". It matches the Rfam family "Bacterial small subunit ribosomal RNA", at positions 47 to 776 of the family's 1533-position model. The record is from RNAcentral. Lineage: Bacteria; Bacillati; Bacillota; Clostridia; Eubacteriales; Oscillospiraceae.